GAAGAUCACACCAUCCCUCACCAUCAUCAGGAUGAGGAACUGAAAGACAUCAAAGCUGAGAUUAAAGAGGAAGAAGAAGAGAUGUCGAUGAGUGGAGCUCAGCAGUCUAUGGGAGGGGGAGGUCCUCUGUAUUCCCGGGAUUCCACACAGGAAGAUCACACCAUCCCCCACCAUUACAAGUGUGAAGAUCUGAUAGAUAUAAAAGUUGAGGUUAAAGAAGAAGAGACGUAUGUGAGGGAUGAUCAGCAGUCUAUGGAGGAGGAUGGAAUAACGGGGA
Rana temporaria (common frog) is the source of this 277-nucleotide long non-coding RNA. RefSeq lists it as uncharacterized. The transcript has 3 exons. NCBI's taxonomy places the organism in Eukaryota, Metazoa, Chordata, Amphibia, Anura, Ranidae. The record is from RefSeq and is a predicted model, not a curated record.